AUGAACGCUGGCGGCGUGCCUAAUACAUGCCAGUCGAGCGAACGGACGAGAAGCUUGCUUCUCUGAUGUUAGCGGCGGACGGGUGAGUAACACGUGGAUAACCUACCUAUAAGACUGGGAUAACUUCGGGAAACCGGAGCUAAUACCGGAUAAUAUUUUGAACCGCAUGGUUCAAAAGUGAAAGACGGUCUUGCUGUCACUUAUAGAUGGAUCCGCGCUGCAUUAGCUAGUUGGUAAGGUAACGGCUUACCAAGGCAACGAUGCAUAGCCGACCUGAGAGGGUGAUCGGCCACACUGGAACUGAGACACGGUCCAGACUCCUACGGGAGGCAGCAGUAGGGAAUCUUCCGCAAUGGGCGAAAGCCUGACGGAGCAACGCCGCGUGAGUGAUGAAGGUCUUCGGAUCGUAAAACUCUGUUAGUAGGGAAGAACAUAUGUGUAAGUAACUGUGCACAUCUUGACGGUACCUAAUCAGAAAGCCACGGCUAACUACGUG
RNAcentral lists this ribosomal RNA (496 nucleotides) under uncultured bacterium. RNAcentral describes it as "partial 16S ribosomal RNA". It matches the Rfam family "Bacterial small subunit ribosomal RNA", at positions 29 to 507 of the family's 1533-position model. The record is from RNAcentral.